Molecule: long non-coding RNA, 1237 nt
Filed under: Homo sapiens (human)
Lineage: Eukaryota; Metazoa; Chordata; Mammalia; Primates; Hominidae
Description: HSALNT0074482
Source: RNAcentral
CUAGUCUCCAACUCCUCAGCUCAAGUGAUCCUCCUGCCUCAGCCUCCCGAAGUGCUGGGAUUUGCAGGUGUGAGCCACCAUGCCUGGACUAACCACUACCUUUUUUGUAUCUUGGUCUCACUCAGUCUCCCAGGCUGCAGUGCAGUGGUGCGAUCAUGGCUCAAUAAUGCAGCUUCAACCUCCCGUGCUCAAGCAAUCCUCUUGCCUCAGCCUCCCAAGUAGCUGGGACUACAGGCACCCAUCACCACACCCGACUAAUUUUUAAGUUUUUUGUAGAGAUGAGGUCUCCUAAUGUUGCUCAGUGAUCCUCCUGCCUUGGCCUCCCAAAGUGCUGGGAUUACAGGUAUGAGUCACCACACUGGGCCCAGAUGACAUGUAAAGCUGUGAAAUGUGCUUAGUAUAAUAGUGUGGAAAAACAGUUUAAUGGCUCUUUUGAUUAGUACAUGUAUAAAUAAGGCAGUAUUGAGAUUUACCCUAUCUUCCAUGAACAAUAAAAUUAUUCUUAGUUGGUACUCUUUUAACGUAAUUCUCAUAUUCCACGAAAAUGUAGUUUACUAUAUAUAAAACCUGUAAGGAGUCCCUGGUUAGACUCAUUUUACUGGACCAUCAAGAGCUACUUUGUUUCUUUGUUCAGUUAUAGAAAAACUGCUGAAGUAUCUAGGCUUAAAUUCUAAAUUCUAAAUUAUACCCUUUAUCAAUCAAUUAAAAAAAAAGUUUUUUUCCACCUUAAGUAGUAAAUAAGAGCAAAUCUUCAGUGCCAGAAUACAAGUCAUCAUUCCACACUGGGCUUCUAAUUUCCUUGUCUGACCAUUAUUUUCCCACCUAUAAAUUAACAGAUGGUAAGAUCUACUUCUGAAGGUUAUCGUGACAAUCUGAUGCGACAAUAUAUGAGAACACUUUGUAAGCUGCAAAAAGUACUAAGUAUUAGAUAUAUUUUUCUAUUAGUUUAAUACAGCCAGUGACUGGCCAACAUUUACCCUUUUUGAGGUUUAUAUAAGGAAUGUUCCAGUCGAUGAGUAGAGCAGCUUUCUGUUAUUAUACUUGGUGUUAAUAGCAGAAAAACAAGGUCUUGGUUUGAAAAAUGCUCCUGCAAGUUUUUGUGAAGCAGCCUCUCUCUAAACGUCAUGAUCUGAUCUGAAUGACGACGGAAUUUGUACCAACCUACCACAUUCUGAAAUACAGAAUAAAAAGGAUAUACAUCUUAAUAGUUACAAUGAUAUGUCUUACUAUUAUAAUU